This 514-nucleotide long non-coding RNA is filed under the name Rattus norvegicus (Norway rat). RNAcentral describes it as "long non-coding RNA NONRATT016430". The record is from RNAcentral. Lineage: Eukaryota; Metazoa; Chordata; Mammalia; Rodentia; Muridae.
CUGGGGGAAGAGUGCUCUGUCUGUUGCCAGAGGAUGUUGAAAUCCCUGCUCUGCCAGGCACUGGGAGCUCCCUGAGCUCCGACAUGGUGUUUGCACCGGGUCAGCCUGCUGCCUCUAGCGCUGGAGCCGGCAAGCGAGAGAAUCUCUGGACUCCCCGUGGCUCGAGCAGCUUCCCCGUGAGCCUGGCACAGAAGCGCUUUGCUUUGAUCCUAGCGCUGACUAAAGUCAUCCUCUGGCUGCCUAUGAUGGUGAGUGUAUUUAGCACUCAGGGUGUGUGAGCUGAGCCCAGACGCGGGUUUGGGGAUAAGUCCGCUUCCAGAGGCAUCGGUUGUCUCUGAAGACAGGUCCCGAGGAAAGCAAUUCACCUGGGGACUCGUUAACUACCAAACCCCGUGGCUGUUAAGUAAUUUUCGAUCUGAGAAAGGUGGAGAGCCUUCGGUCACAAGAGACUUGGUUUUCCUAGAUCGUGGUGGUCAAAGAUGUACUCUCUCUUAGGCAAAAAAAAAAAAAAAAA